This 460-nucleotide ribosomal RNA is filed under the name uncultured bacterium. RNAcentral's name for it is "partial 16S ribosomal RNA". It matches the Rfam family "Bacterial small subunit ribosomal RNA", at positions 338 to 795 of the family's 1533-position model. The record is from RNAcentral.
CCUACGGGAGGCAGCAGUGAGGAAUAUUGGUCAAUGGACGAGAGUCUGAACCAGCCAAGUAGCGUGAAGGAUGACUGCCCUAUGGGUUGUAAACUUCUUUUAUAUGGGAAUAAAAUGUUCCACGUGUGGGAUUUUGUAUGUACCAUAUGAAUAAGGAUCGGCUAACUCCGUGCCAGCAGCCGCGGUAAUACGGAGGAUCCGAGCGUUAUCCGGAUUUAUUGGGUUUAAAGGGAGCGAAGGUGGAUUGUUAAGUCAGUUGUGAAAGUUUGCGGCUCAACCGUAAAAUUGCAGUUGAAACUGGCAGUCUUGAGUACAGUAGAGGUGGGCGGAAAUCGUGGUGUAGCGGUGAAAUGCUUAGAUAUCACGAAGAACUCCGAUUGCGAAGGCAGUUCACUGGACUGCAACUGACACUGAGGCUCGAAAGUGUGGGUAUCAAACAGGAUUAGAUACCCGAGUAGUC